GGUUUUUGUCAAAAACGAAAGUGGCCGCAUCCGUGUUCAUCCUCAAUCUUUAUAUAUAUUAUGUAUUAUCAUCAAAUACAACUUCCAUUUCAAUAUUUUGGAUGAACACGAAUGCGGCCACUUCGUUUUACACGGAAACC
RNAcentral lists this small RNA (140 nucleotides) under Mytilus galloprovincialis (Mediterranean mussel). The record is from RNAcentral. Lineage: Eukaryota; Metazoa; Mollusca; Bivalvia; Mytilida; Mytilidae.